This 179-nucleotide ribosomal RNA is filed under the name uncultured bacterium. RNAcentral describes it as "partial 16S ribosomal RNA". It matches the Rfam family "Bacterial small subunit ribosomal RNA", at positions 355 to 535 of the family's 1533-position model. The record is from RNAcentral.
UGAGGAAUAUUGGUCAAUGGCCGGAAGGCUGAACCAGCCAAGCCGCGUGAAGGACGAAGGUGCCAAGCAUUGUAAACUUCUUUUGUCAAGGGACAAAAUCAGGCUCGAGAGCCUGACCGAGGGUACUUGAAGAAAAAGCAUCGGCUAACUCCGUGCCAGCAGCCCGGUAAUAGAUGUCU